UGUCAGUGCUCCCUAAAGAAGUUAAAUGGA
RNAcentral lists this non-coding RNA (30 nucleotides) under Macaca fascicularis (crab-eating macaque). RNAcentral also lists the same sequence under 1 other name. Lineage: Eukaryota; Metazoa; Chordata; Mammalia; Primates; Cercopithecidae. The record is from RNAcentral.